GGCACCAGCUGCGGGGAAGGGAAGCUUCCUGGAGAGAGGAGGGAAGUGUUUGUUUCUCCUCCCAAUGACCCCCAUCCACAAGAGAAAGGCCCUGUGAACACAGGGAGAAAACAGCCACCUGCAAGCCAGAGGAGAGACCUCAUCAGAACGCAACCAUGUGGCAACCUGAUCUGGGACCUUCAGAACAAAGACAAUAAAUUUCUGUUGUUUAAGCCA
This is a long non-coding RNA of Neofelis nebulosa (Clouded leopard), 216 nucleotides long. RefSeq lists it as uncharacterized. The record is from RefSeq and is a predicted model, not a curated record. NCBI's taxonomy places the organism in Eukaryota, Metazoa, Chordata, Mammalia, Carnivora, Felidae. The transcript has 2 exons.